ACGACCUUACUUGAACAGGAUCUGUUCUAUAGGCUCGUACUACUGUGUCCUUGAUUUCAAAGGAGACAGGAACAUAAAUCUGGCGGAUGAACUAUUACCGUGCGAUCAGAGCGUGAUUAAUGGCCUUGAUGAUACUCAGUUUGAGCUAUCAUCCUUAGGCUGUAGAUGAUCGUUCUCGGCAGUGACAUCACUAUCGGGGUGGUCGUACGGUGUUCUGACAGAUU
Small nucleolar RNA from Vicia villosa (hairy vetch), 224 nucleotides. RefSeq annotates it as small nucleolar RNA U3. The transcript has a single exon. Lineage: Eukaryota; Viridiplantae; Streptophyta; Magnoliopsida; Fabales; Fabaceae. The record is from RefSeq and is a predicted model, not a curated record.